This 408-nucleotide ribosomal RNA is filed under the name Staphylococcus aureus. Its description in RNAcentral is "partial 23S ribosomal RNA". It matches the Rfam family "Bacterial large subunit ribosomal RNA", at positions 68 to 469 of the family's 2925-position model. The record is from RNAcentral. Lineage: Bacteria; Bacillati; Bacillota; Bacilli; Caryophanales; Staphylococcaceae.
ACGAUAUGCUUUGGGGAGCUGUAAGUAAGCUUUGAUCCAGAGAUUUCCGAAUGGGGAAACCCAGCAUGAGUUAUGUCAUGUUAUCGAUAUGUGAAUACAUAGCAUAUCAGAAGGCACACCCGGAGAACUGAAACAUCUUAGUACCCGGAGGAAGAGAAAGAAAAUUCGAUUCCCUUAGUAGCGGCGAGCGAAACGGGAAGAGCCCAAACCAACAAGCUUGCUUGUUGGGGUUGUAGGACACUCUAUACGGAGUUACAAAGGACGACAUUAGACGAAUCAUCUGGAAAGAUGAAUCAAAGAAGGUAAUAAUCCUGUAGUCGAAAAUGUUGUCUCUCUUGAGUGGAUCCUGAGUACGACGGAGCACGUGAAAUUCCGUCGGAAUCUGGGAGGACCAUCUCCUAAGGCUAA